This 1813-nucleotide long non-coding RNA is filed under the name Homo sapiens (human). RNAcentral describes it as "HSALNT0301919". The record is from RNAcentral. Lineage: Eukaryota; Metazoa; Chordata; Mammalia; Primates; Hominidae.
UAUUUUAAUAAUUAUAGUGCACUAUUGAAAUAAAAACACAUUUCCUCUUUCUCUGCCACUUUUUUGGUGUAAUGGGACAUUCAGAGCUUGAAAGAAACCACCACAUAAGUAGUCAUUUCAUCUGUAUCUGUUAAAUGAAUUGCUUUUCCCAGACAUCUAAUUUAUCCAGAGAACAUCUCCUUGGUCAGUAUUACAAAUUGUUUUUAUUUUCUUACACUUGCUUAUUAAUAAUUUUCCAUGUCAUGUCUGUCAUCAGAGAAGGAAGGUCACAUUCAAUAUUUCUCCAUUUCUCUUUUCUUUUUUCCCACUCAUACUCUAGAUUGAAAACUUAGCUAAGUAAAAACAAUUGGUUCAAAUCUUAUUUGAAUUAUGGACACAUUAUUCUCAGUAAAAUAAAUCUUGAGUUUAAAUCCCAUUAUCUUGUGUAAAUUUUUUUAAUUCAAUCUUGGCAAAACAUGCAUAUUUUAAAGAUAUGACCUAUAAUUUUUUCUCUUGACUUUUGUGUUUGGCAGGAGUUCACAGACUUUGCUAACAAUUUUAACAGAUAUGCUUUAAUUUAAUAACUACAAUUUGGUAAUUAGCUGGAGUCGCAUUUCAAAAUGCAAUUGAUAUGAUUUGGCUGGAUUUAUCUGUAUUCUAGAAAAUACAGGACAGUCGUAUAGAUACUGGUGUUGUUACUCUGUUCAUAUUCACACUUUUACCUUGCAUCAUUCCUGAGACACAGAAUUUUUGAUAUUCUGCCACAAUCUAUUCCCAAAACAUCACUGAUGACAAAACGAUAAUAAUCUUUGGAAACAUUUCCUCUCAAGUUCCAAAGUUUUCAGUCAGUAGAAAAAAAAGAAAGAAGACAAAAUUUUAAAGGUGCUGAGAAAAGCCCAGGGCUCACAGCUGGUUUCAGCAACUUCAACUUGCGUAAGACCCCGUGUUUGUGAAAACAACCCAAGAAUCUUUGAACAGGAUGUAAUCAACCUCCGAACUGCUGAGAAAUAUUGCAAAAAUGACUUCAGCUGCCAAAAAUAAUGUCGUUUACAAGCAGCUCUUCCUAUGUCUAAGGAAGAACUAGUCACACAUGCGAGUUUUUGCUGGCUUGAGAACAAGCAAGGAAAAAGACAAAUCCCACCUACCCUAGCCUAAAAUACACAGUGAGUCUCAGAACCCCGCGGAAGCUGUGGCUCAUUUCUAAAGGUGCUGGCAAUAUCGAGGAAGACUUGUAUCCACAAAAUUCCAAAUGAUUAAAUAAUCAAGUCAUUAUUGUGAAUUUGGAUCUAAAUGACCUGGCAGAAACCAUGGAGAUGAUCUUGGAUUUAAAGAGGAAAAACUCAAAGCAAUGUAUUCUGAUCAAGAAAUGGCAGGAAAUGGCAGCUACCUGAUAUGGAACAAUCAACAACUGAAGGUUUAUUUUGAAUGAGAGGUGUUGUCCAACUGCGAGACGGAGUGAUUGAAGCUGAGAAUAAAUGGAAACACAAUCAAUAGUCACUCCAGUGAGGUAGGAAAGAAAGCCAUUCCGAAGUGGCAGAGAAGCUGCUUUUUCCUCCUGCAUGCUGCCUGCUAGUGUGGAUCUUGGCAUAACAGACACUACUUGGCAAAAGAUCCAUCCUUCCUUUUCCUAUACUUUGCUCAGCGGCCUGGAAGAUUGACCUCAAAAGCAAAAUCACCUGGAUUUCCUUGCCAUUUGGCUUUCAAAUGUGCUCAGCCAAUGACAGGCUGGAAAGAAAUUGACAGCUGGGAAAAGAGGAAGAUUUGUGUACAAGAUCCCUUCCACUCCCAUCUCAUUACCUGCCAUGGUCCUAGCAGUGGCUGUUCUUAUUAUGGC